RNAcentral lists this ribosomal RNA (394 nucleotides) under Paracoccus sp. oral taxon H67. RNAcentral's name for it is "bacterial SSU rRNA". It matches the Rfam family "Bacterial small subunit ribosomal RNA", at positions 30 to 454 of the family's 1533-position model. The record is from RNAcentral. Lineage: Bacteria; Pseudomonadati; Pseudomonadota; Alphaproteobacteria; Rhodobacterales; Paracoccaceae.
CGAACGCUGGCGGCAGGCUUAACACAUGCAAGUCGAGCGAGAUCUUCGGAUCUAGCGGCGGACGGGUGAGUAACGCGUGGGAACGUGCCCUUUGCUACGGAAUAGUCCCGGGAAACUGGGUUUAAUACCGUAUACGCCCUUCGGGGGAAAGAUUUAUCGGCAAAGGAUCGGCCCGCGUUGGAUUAGGUAGUUGGUGGGGUAAUGGCCUACCAAGCCGACGAUCCAUAGCUGGUUUGAGAGGAUGAUCAGCCACACUGGGACUGAGACACGGCCCAGACUCCUACGGGAGGCAGCAGUGGGGAAUUUAGACAAUGGGGGCAACCCUGAUCUAACCAUGCCGCGUGAGUGAUGAAGGCCUUAGGGUUGUAAAGCUCUUCAGCUGGGAAGAUAAUGA